Molecule: ribosomal RNA, 486 nt
Filed under: uncultured bacterium
Lineage: Bacteria
Description: bacterial SSU rRNA
Rfam family: Bacterial small subunit ribosomal RNA
Source: RNAcentral
GAUGAACGCUAGCGGGAGGCCUAAUACAUGCAAGUCGAACGGGUGAAUUAGCUUCGGUUGGUUCACUAGUGGCGCACGGGUGAGUAACGCGUACGCAAUCUGCCCUAUGCUGGGGAAUAGCCCUGGGAAACUGGGAGUAAUACGCCAUAGUUCUACGGAUCUGCAUGGAUUUGUAGAUAAAGCUGCGGCGGCAUAGGAUGAGCGUGCGUCUGAUUAGGUAAUUGGUGAGGUAACGGCUCACCAAGCCGACGAUCAGUAAGGGGCGUGAGAGCGUGGCCCCUCACACGGGUACUGAGACACGGACCCGACUCCUACGGGAGGCAGCAGUAAGGAAUAUUGGACAAUGGGCGCAAGCCUGAUCCAGCCAUCCCGCGUGCUUGAUGAAGGCCCUCUGGGUUGUAAAGAGCUUUAGUCUGGGAAGAAACCGUUUUCUGCGGAAGACGCUGACGGUACCAGAAGAAUAAGCACCGGCUAACUCCGUGCCAG